This 595-nucleotide ribosomal RNA is filed under the name uncultured Bacteroidales bacterium. RNAcentral's name for it is "bacterial SSU rRNA". It matches the Rfam family "Bacterial small subunit ribosomal RNA", at positions 98 to 693 of the family's 1533-position model. The record is from RNAcentral. Lineage: Bacteria; Pseudomonadati; Bacteroidota; Bacteroidia; Bacteroidales.
GCGCACGGGUGAGUAACGCGUAUGCAACCUGCCCGAUACCGGGGUAUAGCCCAUGGAAACGUGGAUUAACACCCCAUAGUACUUUUAUCCUGCAUGGGAUGUGAGUUAAAUGUUCAAGGUAUCGGAUGGGCAUGCGUCCUAUUAGUUAGUUGGCGGGGUAACAGCCCACCAAGACAAUGAUAGGUAGGGGUUCUGAGAGGAAGGUCCCCCACAUUGGAACUGAGACACGGUCCAAACUCCUACGGGAGGCAGCAGUGAGGAAUAUUGGUCAAUGGACGAGAGUCUGAACCAGCCAAGUCGCGUGAGGGAAGACUGCCCUAUGGGUUGUAAACCUCUUUUAUAAGGGAAGAAUAAGUUCUACGUGUAGAAUGAUGCCUGUACCUUAUGAAUAAGCAUCGGCUAACUCCGUGCCAGCAGCCGCGGUAAUACGGAGGAUGCGAGCGUUAUCCGGAUUUAUUGGGUUUAAAGGGUGCGUAGGCGGUUUAUUAAGUUAGUGGUUAAAUAUUUGAGCUAAACUCAAUUGUGCCAUUAAUACUGGUAAACUGGAGUACAGACGAGGUAGGCGGAAUAAGUUAAGUAGCGGUGAAAUGCAUAG